AGAGUUUGAUCMUGGCUCAGGACAAACGCUGGCGGAAUGUAUUAGGCAUGCARGUCGUACGAACCUUCGGGUUAGUGGCGAACGGGUGAGUAACACGUGGGUAACCUGCCUCGUAGUGGGGAAUAACUCGCCGAAAGGCGAGCUAAUACCGCAUAACACCCCYGGUGAGASUCCRGGUGGUAAAAGCUCCGGCGCUACGAGAGGGGCCCGCGGYCGAUUAGCUAGUUGGUGGGGUAAUAGCCUACCAAGGCGACGAUCGRUAGCUGGUCUGAGAGGAUGGUCAGCCACACGGGGACUGAGAUACGGCCCCGACUCCUACGGGAGGCAGC
This 329-nucleotide ribosomal RNA is filed under the name uncultured soil bacterium. Its description in RNAcentral is "partial 16S ribosomal RNA". It matches the Rfam family "Bacterial small subunit ribosomal RNA", at positions 8 to 352 of the family's 1533-position model. The record is from RNAcentral.